This 506-nucleotide ribosomal RNA is filed under the name uncultured Glomus. Its description in RNAcentral is "SSU rRNA". It matches the Rfam family "Eukaryotic small subunit ribosomal RNA", at positions 569 to 1078 of the family's 1831-position model. The record is from RNAcentral. Lineage: Eukaryota; Fungi; Glomeromycota; Glomeromycetes; Glomerales; Glomeraceae.
AGCAGCCGCGGUAAUUCCAGCUCCAAUAGCGUAUAUUAAAGUUGUUGCAGUUAAAAAGCUCGUAGUUGAAUUUCGGGAUCAAUAUAUCGGUCAUGCUUAGGUAUGUACUGGUAUUAUUGAUUUCUCCCUUCUGAAGAACCAUGAUGUCAUUAAUUUGAUGUCGUGGGGAAUCAGGACUGUUACUUUGAAAAAUUAGAGUGUUUAAAGCAGGCAUACGCUUGAAUACAUUAGCAUGGAAUAAUGAAAUAGGACGUUUGAUUCUAUUUUGUUGGUUUCUAGGAUCGACGUAAUGAUUAAUAGGGAUAGUUGGGGGCAUUAGUAUUCAAUUGUCAGAGGUGAAAUUCUUGGAUUUAUUGAAGACUAACUACUGCGAAAGCAUUUGCCAAGGAUGUUUUCAUUAAUCAAGAACGAAAGUUAGGGGAUCGAAGACGAUCAGAUACCGUCGUAGUCUUAACCAUAAACUAUGCCGACUAGGGAUCGGAUGAUGUUAAUUUUUUAAUGACUCU